Non-coding RNA from Punica granatum (pomegranate), 3033 nucleotides. NCBI's taxonomy places the organism in Eukaryota, Viridiplantae, Streptophyta, Magnoliopsida, Myrtales, Lythraceae. The record is from RefSeq and is a predicted model, not a curated record.
UUGGGAAUAGUAAGCAGCCAUGAACGCAAGACAAACCUCUCUCCUCGGAGCCAUUGUCGUCCUCUUCCUCCUUAACUGCCUCUCCAUCUGCCUCUACUUCUACCCCUUAACGGAGAACCGCUCCCCGUUGACGGAACCCACCUCCCACUUAACGGAGCGCCGCUCUAACUUGGCGGGAGACCGGCAUCAUCCCGCCAGACCCCGCCGGCUCAAGCGCUGGCCCUCCCUGCCGUCCUACCUCCCAUGGACGCAGCAGCCCAGGCCCCCCGUCAAUUCAUGCGAGGCCUACUUCGGCAAUGGCUUCACCCGCCGCGUCGACCUCCUCCCUUCCUCCCCCGGCGGCGGCGGCGGGGGAUGGUUCCGGUGCUUUUACAGCGAGACACUGAGGAGCUCAGUGUGCGAGGGAGGUCGCCUGAGGAUGGUGCCCGAGAGGAUCAGGGCCUCGAGGGGAGGCGAGAGGCUGGAGGAGGUGGUCGGGAGGGAAGAGGAUGAGGAGCUGCCGGAGUUCGAGGACGGUGCGUUCGAGGUGGAGGCUGGCGCGGUGGAUCUGGGAUUGCGGUAUCGGUAUGGGAGAGGCGGGAAGCUCCUGAAAGGUGAUCUCUUGGACAUGUACGUGCCCAAGGGAGAUGUGGACAGGCAUCGAAUGGGGGAGCUGCUCGGGUCGAUUCGAGUGGUCGAAGCCGGAGAUUUCCACUGCGAUCAGACACAGCUAGAAGAAACAUGGGAUGCUUUGUUUUCAAGCCUUAGACAUGCCAAAAACUUUAGUGGCUCAGUUUGCUUUCGCCAUGCCAUUUUUUCUCCUCUGGGAUAUGAGACUCCUCUAUUCAAGGGGCUUUCUGAGGAAAUUGAUUGCCAUGGAGCACCGGCUCAUGACUUGCAGCGGAACGCAGAUGACCAGAAAACUGCUCGGCUUCAUGAGUUUGGAGAGAUGAUCAAAUCAUCUUUUGGUUUGUCGACUUCCGAGCACCAUAAUAUGAUUUCAGCGUCAGGUUAUAAUGUCCUCUUUGUUCGGCGUGAAGACUAUUUGGCUCAUCCUCGCCACCGUGGAAAAGUUGAAUCGAGGCUAAGCAAUGAACAAGAGGUUUUUGAAUCUGUACGGAUUUGGGCAUCAAACCAUCUAGAUUGCAAAAUAAAUGUUAUCAAUGGAUUAUUUGCACAUAUGCCCAUGAAAGAGCAGGUGGAAGCCAUUCGAGAUGCAUCAGUCAUUAUCGGUGCACACGGUGCAGGUCUCACUCACACAGUGUCUGCACUUCCUAAGACAGUGAUUCUCGAGAUCAUCAGCGAGAAAUUUCGGCGUCCUCACUUUGAGCUAAUUGCCCAGUGGAAGGGACUGGAAUACCACGCCAUCAACCUCCGUGGAUCAUAUGCUGCUCCUUCAGUAGUCAUUAAGAAGCUCGGGAACAUCAUGAGAAGUCUUAAUUGUUGACAUAUGAUGGAUCGCUAAACUAGAUGUCUCCAGGAGAGGGAAGAUUUGUGGAGCUUCAUCGGCUCCGAAUGGGGAUUCCUUCCUUGACAGUGUUCUUUGCCUUCUUGGUCGUCCACUGUUGCUUCACUCUCUGUCAUCCAUUGACAUUAACAUUUCGCGAUUUGCCGGGACAGCUUACCUCACGUGGAACUUGGAAAAUGUCAAAUCCGAUGCAUGUUUCCAUCAUUAUUUCUGAAUGCAUCGACAUGCUGAACCCCGAGUUGCUUCAAUAGUUUCACGGUUUUUCCACGAGAAGUGAUGAGAGGUACCAUUUUCGGGCUGAUGAAGCCCGGCCUUGUCAUCUGCGCUUAACAACUUCACAUAUCAAGGCUUUGCAGAAGUAUUGGUGGCUUCUCGCUUGUAACACCUUUUAUUUUAUUUUUUGAAAUAAAAAUGAUGAAUAGGCGUUUGCUCAAAUGUAUAUAGAUUUGAAUCAUCGAUUGGUUUUAUAGCAAUGCCAUGUCCUCGAUUUUGUUUCCUCCAGCCUCUAUCGGGAUCCUGUUUAGGAAUUGCGAUCGUAUGCCUUAUGACUAUUGCACUUUCUAAUGGAGAAAAUGAGUCGGUAUUCCGCGUCAUUCACUUCUUUUAUGUCACAUAGAUCACGGAUUUGUGUUGCACUUGUUAAGUUGCAUCGGCGGAUUUCGAUGCAGUCCAUGCCAACACUGCGAUUACACUUCAAUAUCAAUCUUAUUUCAAAAAUAACUUUGAUUUAUUUGUGUACUUAUUUUUUAGUUAUUGUCAGUGGUUGGUUUGUAUAAAACUGAAAGGGAAAAAUUACGUGAAUAUCAUAGCAAGCGAGGAGGGAGGACUGUGUAUAGAAGAGAAACUGAGCCCGGCACCGGCGUAUGGUUCUUUGCCGGCCAGUGAGCUGAUCAGGGCUGAGCGUGACGGCGGAGAGAGACUUACGCCUCACCUUGUCAACUCAGACCCACCAAAAUCUCAUCCUCCAUUGACUCACUUUCGGCAAACAAGUCCCACUGUAUCACCAAUCUUCAUCAUUGUCUUCCUUUUGCGGUGCGGGAGAUGACACUCUGCUACCCUUCGACACCAAAGAAGCUCGCAAUGACUGUUGGAUUCUUCUUUGCUGGGGCUGGACUUUUCGGUUACGGCCUUCAUCUUUGGUACGUCAAUGCAGCUCCGCAGCGAGCGCGAAUACAGGCUCGCAGUGAAUUCGUCAAAGAAAAGUUGAGGAGGAAGUAUGGGGAUGGCCGAAGGUAGGAACUUUCCCAUGCGUAGGAUCACCUUCCUUUGCUCAAAUCCAGGGGAAGAGGAAACCUUAGCCGUGACAUUUCAGCGGUUUCCAUUUCUCGAGUUGCACACAUAUGGGAUUUCUCCGGAUGAAGGAAAAGUUGGAAUUCGAAUCCUUUGCAGUUUGCACCAUAUGCUGAGUUUUAUGGACUGGCUAAAGCUGAAAUCGGUAAUGCCUAUCAUGUAACGUUUUUUAGCUUCUUUAGGUCAUUAUGAAUCUGUCUCUUGAUCGAGAAGCAUGAGCUAGCUAAUCUGAGGGAUGAUGCUGCAUGAAUUUGAUGCUUUGAGCAAUGAAAUAACCAAAGUUCGGUUUAGCUCCA